AGCUUACACUGGUAUGGUUUCUCGCCGGAGUGAAUACGAAGAUGUUUCGUUAAAGUAGAACUGUCCGAGAAUGCUUUUUUGCAGAAUCGACACCUGGAAGAAAGAAGAUUGCCAGUUAAAAGAUUCUGAAAUAUUGGUAACUACUUCAAAUUACAGUCAAUGCAACACGUAAGAGUGGCACGUAAGAUAUUGGGCAUACACGGUGAUUUCGUGAAGUUGUAAGCGAUAAAUUUUUAUUGCUUAAUAGAGUGAUAUAAGUAAGUAGAUUUUCGCUACAUUGCCAUAUGUGAAGAUACAGCAGCGGUAUUGUUGGAAGUGACGAAAGAGUGCGUUCUGAGAUGCGUCUUGAGAGUGCUGGGUCUUGCAUACGAUUUACCGCAGAUUCUGCAGAGGUUAGGUCUGCCAUUGUCAUCGGGU
Molecule: long non-coding RNA, 417 nt
Organism: Megachile rotundata (alfalfa leafcutting bee)
Lineage: Eukaryota; Metazoa; Arthropoda; Insecta; Hymenoptera; Megachilidae
Gene: CtBP
Source: RefSeq, a predicted model, not a curated record